GGGGUAUACUUAAAGUCAUGGACCUAAGUUUUGUUGUUAUAUUAAGUGUCUCUGUUAUGUGCUGUGAAGCAUUCAUUUAUAAAUGUCUUUUCUUUGUUUGUUUAGAUUUGGUCAUUGAGCUUUAUCUCUGGAGCAAUUCUUGAGCAUUACGAGCACUACAAAUUCUCCACUGCACAAUAUCCAAUCUAUUCAAAGAACAACCUACAUUCUUCUCUGCAGUUGAACGCCUGGUUUGGGAUUUUCUCAGAGCAGCAGUUCUUCUGUAUUGUUCUCCACCCCACACCCACCCCCACUCCCCAAACACCCAACCCCGCCCCUAACACC
Puntigrus tetrazona (Sumatra barb) is the source of this 324-nucleotide long non-coding RNA. RefSeq lists it as uncharacterized. The record is from RefSeq and is a predicted model, not a curated record. The transcript has 4 exons. NCBI's taxonomy places the organism in Eukaryota, Metazoa, Chordata, Actinopteri, Cypriniformes, Cyprinidae.